This 266-nucleotide small RNA is filed under the name Histoplasma capsulatum. Its description in RNAcentral is "hypothetical RNA". Lineage: Eukaryota; Fungi; Ascomycota; Eurotiomycetes; Onygenales; Ajellomycetaceae. RNAcentral also lists the same sequence under 1 other name. The record is from RNAcentral.
ACACUGUUAUUCCACGUUCGCCAAUUUCCGUCGCAUCGUAGGCUGGUAGCAUGUCGAAAUCAGUUCUCAGAGCGCAGGCAUCUACAACUUUAUUAUACCAUACGUCGUCAUAUCUUUUACCAAAAAGUAUAUUAUCUUUCGCAGUGGCGUUCUGAAUCCAAGCGUACUGGGGGCAGAAAGCCCGUGUAGCAUUCAUGCCAACUGUUCCGAUGACCGCAAUAAGUUCAUUACGGCCGAUCUCAAAAGUAAAAUCUUUGAGUUCGAAA